GUAGGGCAAUCUGUCUUUAAGUAGGGAUAAAUUAAAAGAAAUGAAUCCUAGUUUUCCCUUCAAGUCAAGCGUCUUG
This 76-nucleotide microRNA precursor is filed under the name Canis lupus familiaris (dog). RNAcentral's name for it is "miRNA (ENSCAFG00000054193.1, ENSCAFG00845026969.1)". It matches the Rfam family "mir-684 microRNA precursor family". Lineage: Eukaryota; Metazoa; Chordata; Mammalia; Carnivora; Canidae. The record is from RNAcentral.